RNAcentral lists this ribosomal RNA (1085 nucleotides) under Alkalicoccobacillus gibsonii. RNAcentral's name for it is "bacterial SSU rRNA". It matches the Rfam family "Bacterial small subunit ribosomal RNA", at positions 40 to 1109 of the family's 1533-position model. Lineage: Bacteria; Bacillati; Bacillota; Bacilli; Caryophanales; Bacillaceae. The record is from RNAcentral.
UGGCGCCAAAUACUGCAGUCGAGCGGACAGAAGGGAGCUUGCUCCCGGAUGUUAGCGGCGGACGGGUGAGUAACACGUGGGUAACCUGCCUGUAAGACUGGGAUAACUCCGGGAAACCGGAGCUAAUACCGGAUAGUUCCUUGAACCGCAUGGUUCAAGGAUGAAAGACGGUUUCGGCUGUCACUUACAGAUGGACCCGCGGCGCAUUAGCUAGUUGGUGAGGUAACGGCUCACCAAGGCGACGAUGCGUAGCCGACCUGAGAGGGUGAUCGGCCACACUGGGACUGAGACACGGCCCAGACUCCUACGGGAGGCAGCAGUAGGGAAUCUUCCGCAAUGGACGAAAGUCUGACGGAGCAACGCCGCGUGAGUGAUGAAGGUUUUCGGAUCGUAAAGCUCUGUUGUUAGGGAAGAACAAGUGCAAGAGUAACUGCUUGCACCAUGACGGUACCUAACCAGAAAGCCACGGCUAACUACGUGCCAGCAGCCGCGGUAAUACGUAGGUGGCAAGCGUUGUCCGGAAUUAUUGGGCGUAAAGGGCUCGCAGGCGGUUUCUUAAGUCUGAUGUGAAAGCCCCCGGCUCAACCGGGGAGGGUCAUUGGAAACUGGGAAACUUGAGUGCAGAAGAGGAGAGUGGAAUUCCACGUGUAGCGGUGAAAUGCGUAGAGAUGUGGAGGAACACCAGUGGCGAAGGCGACUCUCUGGUCUGUAACUGACGCUGAGGAGCGAAAGCGUGGGGAGCGAACAGGAUUAGAUACCCUGGUAGUCCACGCCGUAAACGAUGAGUGCUAAGUGUUAGGGGGUUUCCGCCCCUUAGUGCUGCAGCUAACGCAUUAAGCACUCCGCCUGGGGAGUACGGUCGCAAGACUGAAACUCAAAGGAAUUGACGGGGGCCCGCACAAGCGGUGGAGCAUGUGGUUUAAUUCGAAGCAACGCGAAGAACCUUACCAGGUCUUGACAUCCUCUGACAACCCUAGAGAUAGGGCUUUCCCUUCGGGGACAGAGUGACAGGUGGUGCAUGGGUUGUCGUCAGCUCGUGUCGUGAGAUGUUGGGGUUAAGUCCCGCAACGAGCGCAACCCUUUGA